AGCCAACUGGUGUAAGUACAAUGU
RNAcentral lists this non-coding RNA (24 nucleotides) under Arabidopsis thaliana (thale cress). The record is from RNAcentral. Lineage: Eukaryota; Viridiplantae; Streptophyta; Magnoliopsida; Brassicales; Brassicaceae.